CGGAGCGUAGCGCAGUCUGGUAGCGCACACGCCUGGGGGGCGUGCGGUCGCUGGUUCAAAUCCAGUCGCUCCGACCA
Molecule: transfer RNA, 77 nt
Filed under: SAR324 cluster bacterium
Lineage: Bacteria; Deltaproteobacteria
Also listed under: 2 other names
Description: tRNA-Pro
Rfam family: tRNA
About the family: Transfer RNA (tRNA) molecules are approximately 80 nucleotides in length. Their secondary structure includes four short double-helical elements and three loops (D, anti-codon, and T loops).
Source: RNAcentral